GGUCAAGUUACUAAGGGUACAUGGGGGAUGUCUAGGUAUCGAGAGGCGACGAAGGACGUGGAAGGCUGCGAUAAGCCCGGGGCAAGAGCCAAACAUCUGUUAAUCCCGGGAUUUCCGAAUGGGGUAACCUGUCAGGCCGGCGCAAGCUGUGCCUUUCGUCAACGGCUGAAUUCAUAGGCCGUUGAAGCUAACGCAGAGAAUUGAAACAUCUUAGUACCUGCAGGAAAGAAAAUCAACCGAGACUCCGUCAGUAGCGGCGAGCGAAAGCGGACAAGCCCAAACCGGCGUGCUUGCAUGCCGGGGUUGCGGGCACCAAUACUAGAGUUACAAAGAAGCAUAUUAUAGGAACGAUCUGGAAAGUUCGACCAUAGAUGGUGAAAGUCCCGUACUUUACAAUAUAGCUUUCUCUUUUGGUGUACCAGAGUAGCACGAGACUCGUGGAACCUCGUGUGAAGCUGGGGGGCCCACCCUCCAAGGCUAAGUACUCCUCGAUAACCGAUAGUGCAAAGUAGCGUAAGCGAACGAUGAAAAGCACCCCUUUUAGGGGAGUUAAAAGUACCUGAAACCAUGUACCUACAAGCAGUCGGAGCCCUAUUUAAUAUGGGUGACGGCGUGCCUUUCGCAUAAUGAGCCGGCGAGUUAACGUCUGUUGCAAGGUUAAGCACUUCCGGUGCGCAGCCGCAGGGAAACCGAGUCUUAAUAGGGCGUAUUAGUAGCAGGUGUUAGACGCGAAACCAGGUGAUCUACCCAUGGCCAGGUGGAAGGGGAUGUAAAAAUCCCUGGACGACCGAACCCACUAACGUUGAAAAGUUAGGGGAUGAGCUGUGGGGAGGAGUAAAAGUCUAAUCAAACCUGGAGAUAUCUCGUUCUCUCCGAAAUAGUUCUAGGACUAGCCUCAGUUUAUACCUUACAGGGGUAGAGCUACUGAUUGGGACUGGGGGGCCACCAGCCUACCCACCCCUACCAAACUCCGAAUACUGUAAGGCUUAUUCUGGGAGUCAGACUAUGUGCAAUAACGUGUGUGGUCAAGAGGGGAACAACCCAGAUCGCCAGCUAAGGUCCCGAAUCAUUGCUAAGUUACUAAGGAAGUCAGAUUGCCCAGACAAUCAGGAUGUUGGCUUAGAAGCAGCCACCAUUUAAAAAGUGCGUAAUAGCUUACUGAUCGAGCAAUUUGGUGCCGAUAAUGAACGGGAAUCAAGCAAUGAACCGAAGCUGCGGAUUUGAUAUUUAUAUCAAGUGGUAGGAGAGCGUAAUAAUCAGCGUCGAAGCGGUACCGCAAGGAGCCGUGGAGCGGUUAUUAGUGAUUAUGCCGGCAUGAGUAACGAUAAAACAGGUGAGAAUCCUGUUCGCCGAAAACCUAAGGUUUCCUGGGGAAGGUAGAUCCGCCCAGGGUUAGUCGGCCCCUUAGUCGAGGCUGAAAGGCGUAGACGAUGGGCAGCAGGUUAAUAUUCCUGCACUAUGUAGAUGGACGAAAGCAGUGACGCAUUUUUUAAGGCAAUCCCGUGAUUAGUCGAGCGGGUUUCGCAAGAUCGAGGCCGUAUAUGAUGCCGAAGUUGCCGGCAAAGGUGCCGAGAAACAGCUGCUGUAGAUUGAAAUCUGCAUAACCGUACUAAAACUGACACAGGUAGGUGAGGAGAAUAUCCUAAGGCGCUCGAGAGAACCGUUGUUAAGGAACUCGGCAAAUUGACCCCGUAAGUUCGCGAUAAGGGGGCCCUCCUCCGCAAGGAGAGGGGACAGAAAAGUGGCACUGGCGACUGUUUACCAAAAACACAGUUCUCUGCUAACACGUACAGUGGAUGUAUAGAGAAUGACGCCUGCUCGGUGCCGGAAGGUUAAGGAAGGCGGUUAUCCGUCACUUGAUUUAUACGGAGAUACACAAUGUAUUAUGUAUAUGUACUUUAUGAAGAAAACACAGAGAAAUGCUACAUCGGUUACAGCAGUGACUUGAAAACAAGAGUCUCAAGUCAUAAGUCUGGCAGUGGUUGUAAAACCACCAGAAAUGGUAACUGGCAUUUAGUUUAUUAUGAAGCAUAUAUGAGCGAAUCAGAUGCGAGAAAACGUGAGAAACGUUUGAAGAGCGGCAAUGCCCGCAGACAUUUGAUGAAUAGAAUACAGAAAAGUUUAAUGUGUAAAUCAAGUGACGGAGAAGCUGACGACUGAAGCCCCGGUAAACGGCGGCCGUAACUAUGACGGUCCUAAGGUAGCGAAGUUCCUUGUCGGGUAAGUUCCGACCUGCAUGAACGGCGUAACGACUGGUGCACUGUCUCAACAACGGACUCGGUGAAAUUGUAGAUGUGGUGAAGAUACCACAUACCCGCGGCAAGACGGAAAGACCCCGUGAACCUUUACUGCAGUCAGGUAUUGGUACCUGGUAUAUCAUGCGUAGGAUAGGUGGGAGGCUUUGAAGCGGUUCUUCUGGGAAUCGUGGAGCCAUCGUUGAAAUACCACCCUUGGUGUAUUAGUUAUCUAACUCUGAGCCUUGAAUCAGGACAGAGGACCGUGCUUGAUGGGCAGUUUGACUGGGGCGGUCUCCUCCCAAAGAGUAACGGAGGAGUACAAAGGUACACUCAGCAUGGUUGGCAAUCAUGCGUAGAGCAUAAAGGUAGAAGUGUGCUUAACUGCGAGAGCUAUAACUCGAGCAGAUGCGAAAGCAGGUCUUAGUGAUCCGGUGGUCCCGUGUGGAAGGGCCAUCGCUCAUCAGAUAAAAGGUACUCCGGGGAUAACAGGCUUAUCGCCCCCGAGCGUUCAUAGCGGCGGGGCGGUUUGGCACCUCGAUGUCGGCUCAUCACAUCCUGGGGCUGUAGGCGGUCCCAAGGGUUCGGCUGUUCGCCGAUUAAAGUGGUACGCGAGCUGGGUUCAGACCGGCGUGAGCCAGGUCGGUCCCUAUCUGCCGUGGGCGUUGGAAUCUUGUGGAGAUGUUUCCCUAGUACGAGAGGAUUGGGAAGCACUGACCUCUGGUGUACCAGUUGUGCUGCUAAGUGCAUGCUGGGUAGCUAAGUCGGGAAAGGAUAACCGCUGAAAGCAUCUAAGCGGGAAGCCCACUCCGAGAUGAGGAUUCCAUGAUUAAUAUCUGAAGGACCCUGGAAGACUACCAGGUUGAUAGGCCGGAUGUGUAAGUGCAGAAAUGUAUUAAGCUAACCGGUACUAACGUCCAAUAACUUGACCGC
Molecule: ribosomal RNA, 3167 nt
Organism: Phycisphaerae bacterium
Lineage: Bacteria; Pseudomonadati; Planctomycetota; Phycisphaerae
Rfam family: Bacterial large subunit ribosomal RNA
Source: Rfam